CAGCAGUAGCCGCGGGAAUACAGAGGGUGCGAGCGUUAAUCGGAUUUACUGGGCGUAAAGCGUGCGUAGGCGGCUUUUUAAGUCGGAUGUGAAAUCCCUGAGCUUAACUUAGGAAUUGCAUUCGAUACUGGGAAGCUAGAGUAUGGGAGAGGAUGGUAGAAUUCCAGGUGUAGUGGUGAAAUGCGUAGAGAUCUGGAGGAAUACCGAUGGCGAAGGCAGCCAUCUGGCCUAAUACUGACGCUGAGGUACGAAAGCAUGGGGAGCAAACAGGAUUAGAUACCCCGGUAGUCCCUGUCUCUUAUAC
RNAcentral lists this ribosomal RNA (304 nucleotides) under uncultured bacterium. RNAcentral's name for it is "partial 16S ribosomal RNA". It matches the Rfam family "Bacterial small subunit ribosomal RNA", at positions 506 to 807 of the family's 1533-position model. The record is from RNAcentral.